Molecule: ribosomal RNA, 292 nt
Filed under: uncultured bacterium
Lineage: Bacteria
Description: partial 16S ribosomal RNA
Rfam family: Archaeal small subunit ribosomal RNA
Source: RNAcentral
UGCCAGCAGCCGCGGUAAUACCGGCAGCCCGAGUGAUGGCCGAUAUUAUUGGGCCUAAAGCGUCCGUAGCUGGCCGAACAAGUCCGUCGGGAAAUCCACGUGCUUAACACGUGGGCGACCGGCGGAAACUGUUCGGCUUGGGACCGGAAGGCGCGACGGGUACGUCCGGGGUAGGAGUGAAAUCCCGUAAUCCUGGACGGACCGCCGAUGGCGAAAGCACGUCGCGAAGACGGAUCCGACAGUGAGGGACGAAAGCUAGGGUCUCGAACCGGAUUAGAAACCCCGGUAGUCC